This is a long non-coding RNA of Hemiscyllium ocellatum (epaulette shark), 1761 nucleotides long. RefSeq lists it as uncharacterized. The record is from RefSeq and is a predicted model, not a curated record. NCBI's taxonomy places the organism in Eukaryota, Metazoa, Chordata, Chondrichthyes, Orectolobiformes, Hemiscylliidae. The transcript has 5 exons.
CGUCCCCAUUGGUGUGAGCGCGGAGUCUCCUGCGGGCUCUGCUGGUCUCUAAAAUGUGUCUGACGGUGAGAACAUUGAGCAGCAGAAUCAGGAGAAAUGGGACACCGGGGUUAGAAUGUGGUGGAGGAACUUGAUUGUGACCCAAACACUGGACAAUCGAACAGCGACUGUUCCAUCACAAAACCAGGGGAGGUUCGCCAGCUUCUGGAAACAAAUGGCCACAAACCGAUCAAAGGUGAAAUGGACGGUGAACCAGACAGAGCAGUCAGUGGCUGCAUAAAGCAGGACGGCGUGGAUAUUACACACGGGGACAGAGUACAUCAAGAAAUAAAACUGAUCCUGAUAAACAAUGGGAAUGUGUCUCAGGAUCAGGUCGAGGAUAAUGACCAGGAGAUCCGCCGCUGCCAUGGCCCCCAGGUAUCUGUGUUAGCUGUCUGGAUACAGAAUUGGCUGGCCAGCAGAAGACAGCGAGUGGUAGUGGAAGUAAAAUAUUCUGCCUGGAAGUCUGUGGGCCAUAUAAACAUAUCUUCAAAUCGACCGAGACAAUUUUCUGCUCAGGGUAUGGCUCUGUGUAUGCAGCAAUGAUGCACCGACAUGGAACAGGGAAUGUGAUGGAGACAUAGUUUGGACAAUGUACAAGGAGACCUCACAUGGUCCAGUUUGGGAGAGAAUGACAUUAUUGUGUGAUUCAACUCAGAGAGGGAGAAAAUGUCAUCUGCUCGAGAAGAAACGGCCUAUUGCACUCUCACUCCUUCAUUAUUCCUCAUCACAGGAACGUGUACGAGCUAAAACAAAACUCUACUGUUAUCGUUACCAUUCUUAUUUUUAUAGAAUCCCUGCAGUGUGGAAACGAGCCCUUCGGCCCAACAAGUCCAUACCAACCCUCCAAAGAGUAACCUUCCCAUGCCCUUACAGUUACCACUGACUAGUGCACCUGAAGUAGAAAUCGCUAAUUAUUAUGUACUAUUUGACCAAUCCACUUGAAUUAUACAGCUUUGGGAGGAAACGGGAGCACCCAUCAGAAGCUCAUGCAGACACGGGGAGAAGAUCCAAACUCCACGCAGAUAGUCACCUGAGGCUGGAAUUGAACUCAUGUCCCUGAUGCUGUUAUGGAACAGUGCGAACUACUGAGCCACUGUGCUAACCUGGAACCUCUUGCCAGCCUAAUGCAAAGGGAAUUCAGCCAAAUCCAACUCUCCCAGGAUAAAAUCCCAUUGCUAGCAGCUAUGAUGUAUGAAGCCAUGGCCAGGGCAGCAUGUUAUGCAGAUCUUGCACUGAGUGGCUGGUUCAGCUGUUCCACAGGACCGUAAAGAGUAAAACACAUUGCUGUGGGUUUGUAGUGCUACAAGAUAAAUCUUGCUGUUUAAUUAAAACCAGCAAUGGAGAAAAUAUUUAUCCCAUGCAGUAAUCUGUGAUAAUUCUAGAUGCAAAUCUAUUUAAAGUAAAAAUUAACAACUUUAUUCCUUAAAGUAUAACAGAGAAUAAUAAACGAACAACUAUUUAGAAUUUCUUCCUCUAAUCUGUCUUUGACCUUUCCCCUCCACAAUACUAGGCCGAUAAGACUCCUAAUCAAGAUUUACAACACAAAAUUUCUUAUCUCAAAACCAGGAAGCUUUCGAAUCUUCUCCAUAUUCCUGUCUUCUUUUCUUCUUCGGAACUCUGCUUCACUAGUUACUAAUCAAUAAAAGUACCCGUAGGAGACAUAUUUUCAGGCAGUCUUUGCAUGAUGGUAGCUUGGCAGUUCUCCUCUCAACUGUUCAA